RNAcentral lists this non-coding RNA (798 nucleotides) under Paralimna concors. Lineage: Eukaryota; Metazoa; Arthropoda; Insecta; Diptera; Ephydridae. The record is from RNAcentral.
AAUUUAUAAAGUUUUAUUUUGGCUUAGAGUUUUAUUUUAAGUAUAUUUUAUAUGUAAUUUUUUGAGUGAUUAAAUAUUUAUUUUAAUAAUAAAUAUUAUUUAUUGAAUUCGCAGUAAUUAAUAUUAUUAAUUAAAGAAAUUUAGAAAUAGUAAUAUUUAAGAGUAUUGACAAAAUUUGUGCCAGCAGUCGCGGUUAUACAAAUAAUGCAAAUAAAAUUUUUUGGUUAUAGUUAAAUUAAUAAUUAAAUAAUAAUAAUAAAUUUGUUAGGUGAAAUUUUAAAUUUAUAAUUAUUAUAUUUAAUAAUUUUUAUUUAUAUAUUGAAGCUAGAAAAUUUUAAAUAUAAACUAGGAUUAGAUACCCUAUUAUUUAAAAUGUAAUAAAAUAAUUAAAGUAGUAAUAGUUAUGUUCUUGAAACUUAAAAAAUUUGGCGGUAUUUUAGUCUAUUCAGAGGAACCUGUUCUGUAAUCGAUAAUCCACGUUGGACCUUACUUAAAUUUGUAUUUCAAUUUAUAUACCGUCGUUAUAGAAUAUUUUAUAAGAAUAAUAAUUUUCAAUAAUUUUAAAAAGAAUUUAUAUCAGAUCAAGGUGUAGUUUAUGUUUAAGUAGAAAUGGGUUACAAUAAAAUUAUUUAUGAAUUUAAAUAUGAAAAAUUUAUUGAAAUUGGAUUUGAAAGUAAAAUUAUAAAGAUUAAUAAUUUGAUUUUAGCUCUAAAAUAUGUACACAUCGCCCGUCGCUCUUAUUAAUAAGAUAAGAUAAGUCGUAACAUAGUAGAUGUACCGGAAGGUGUAUCUAGAAUU